RNAcentral lists this ribosomal RNA (889 nucleotides) under Thelotrema fuscosubtile. RNAcentral's name for it is "eukaryotic LSU rRNA". It matches the Rfam family "Eukaryotic large subunit ribosomal RNA", at positions 236 to 1099 of the family's 3401-position model. Lineage: Eukaryota; Fungi; Ascomycota; Lecanoromycetes; Ostropales; Graphidaceae. The record is from RNAcentral.
AUUCAUCCAUGUGAAGCCCUUUCGACGAGUCGAGUUGUUUGGGAAUGCAGCUCUAAAUGGGUGGUAGACUUCAUCUAAAGCUAAAUAUCAGCCAGAGACCGAUAGCGCACAAGUAGAGUGAUCGAAAGAUGAAAAGCACUUUGAAAAGAGAGUCAAACAGCACGUGAAAUUGUUGAAAGGGAAGCGCUAGCAACCAGACUUGCUCUGUAUUGUUCAGCUCUCCGAAAGGAUGGUGUAUUCUUUACUUGCAGGCCAGCAUCGGUUUCGACAGUUGGAUAAAAACUCAAGGAAAGUAGCUUCGCUUCGGGGAAGUGUUAUAGCCUAAGUACAAUGCAACUAGUCGGGACCGAGGAACGCGCUUUUAGCGAGGAUGUUGGCAUAAUGGUUGUUAGCGACCCGUCUUGAAACACGGACCAAGGAGUCGACCAAUUAAGCGAGCGUUUGGGUGUAAAACCCUCGACGCGUAAUGAAAGUAAACGUAGGUGGGAAGCUUUACAGCAGCACCAUCGACCGAUCUAAGUUCGCGAGGAUUUGAGUAUGAGUUUCAUUGGUCGGACCCGAAAGGUAAAUACUAUCGAGAGAGAGAAAAGAACAGAUGCUAACUUAUUUUUUAGAAGGUGAACUAUUCGCGGAUAAGUUGAAGUCAGGUGAAAACCUGAUGGAGGACUGCAGCGGUUCUGACGUGCAAAUCGAUCGUCAAAUCUACGAAUAGGGGCGAAAGACUAAUCGAACCUUCUAGUAGCUGGUUCCUGUCGAAGUUUCCCUCAGGAUAGCAGCAACGAUAUACAGUCUCAUGAGGUAGAGCAACGAUUAGAGGCCUUGGGGUUGAAACAACCUCAACCUAUUCUCGAACUCCGAAUAUGUGAGAAGUCCUUGUUACUUUAUUGAA